This 56-nucleotide transfer RNA is filed under the name Bothropolys sp. SP-2004. Its description in RNAcentral is "tRNA-Glu". Lineage: Eukaryota; Metazoa; Arthropoda; Chilopoda; Lithobiomorpha; Ethopolyidae. The record is from RNAcentral.
CUAUAGUGAAAUAUAUAACUGUACACUUUCUAUGUACCGAUGCUUAUAGCUACAGA